This 21-nucleotide non-coding RNA is filed under the name Caenorhabditis elegans. The record is from RNAcentral. Lineage: Eukaryota; Metazoa; Nematoda; Chromadorea; Rhabditida; Rhabditidae.
UUAAUAUUUUGAUUACUAAUU